This 221-nucleotide long non-coding RNA is filed under the name Monodelphis domestica (gray short-tailed opossum). RNAcentral's name for it is "lncRNA (ENSMODG00000033707.2)". Lineage: Eukaryota; Metazoa; Chordata; Mammalia; Didelphimorphia; Didelphidae. The record is from RNAcentral.
CAGUUCAUUUGGAAUCAGGAACUCAAAAGUGAUUGCCUGGAGAAGCAUUCAUAUCUCUGUGCAAUGAAAGCUCAUCCAGGAUUGGUUCAGAAGUGCUUCUUUCAUGAAGUCCUCCCUGAUUUGACUCUGACUCCCAAACCUCAGCCAAAAGAAUCAUGAAGCUAGGAUUCUCCUCUCCCUCCAGCACGACUUCUCCUAUACUCCUCGUCCCUCCUCCACCU